This 550-nucleotide unclassified non-coding RNA is filed under the name Plocama brevifolia. Its description in RNAcentral is "sequence contains 18S rRNA gene, ITS1, 5.8S rRNA gene, ITS2". The stretch from base 220 to 375 matches the Rfam family "5.8S ribosomal RNA". Lineage: Eukaryota; Viridiplantae; Streptophyta; Magnoliopsida; Gentianales; Rubiaceae. The record is from RNAcentral.
GUAGGUGAACCUGCGGAAGGAUCAUUGUCAAAUCCUGCAGACGACUGCGAACAAGUAAACAAAUAAUGUGGGGCCCCAGAGGGCGGGAGAAAUCUUGCCGUCCGGCAACCACACAAAACUUAACUCCCGGCGCGGAAAGCGCCAAGGACUACUCAAACGGAUCGUCCGUCUCUCUUGCGGCUUCCGCGGGAGGGGCGGCGUCUGAAACGUAACCAAUACGACUCUCGGCAACGGAUAUCUAGGCUCUCGCAUCGAUGAAGAACGUAGCGAAAUGCGAUACUUGGUGUGAAUUGCAGAAUCCCGUGAACCAUCGAGUUUUUGAACGCAAGUUGCGCCCGAAGCCAUUAGGCUGAGGGCACGUCUGCCUGGGCGUCACGCAUCUCGUCGCCACCCCAUCUCCUCCGGUGAAAGGGGUGGCGGAUGUUGGCCUCCCGUGCCAAGUGGCGCGGUUGGCCCAAACGCGAGUUCUCGGAUCGGGACGUCACGACUAGUGGUGGUUGUAAUCUAAGCUUAGUCUUGACGGCCCUUUGCGGGCGAAAAUGACCCUAGA